GCAGCCGUAGCUCAGUUGGUUAGAGCGCUAGUUUGUGGAACUAGAUGUCGGUGGUUCGAAUCCACCCGGCUGUACCA
Molecule: transfer RNA, 77 nt
Filed under: Candidatus Pelagibacter sp. TMED142
Lineage: Bacteria; Pseudomonadati; Pseudomonadota; Alphaproteobacteria; Candidatus Pelagibacterales; Candidatus Pelagibacteraceae
Also listed under: 1 other name
Description: tRNA-His
Rfam family: tRNA
About the family: Transfer RNA (tRNA) molecules are approximately 80 nucleotides in length. Their secondary structure includes four short double-helical elements and three loops (D, anti-codon, and T loops). Further hydrogen bonds mediate the characteristic L-shaped molecular structure. tRNAs have two regions of fundamental functional importance: the anti-codon, which is responsible for specific mRNA codon recognition, and the 3' end, to which the tRNAs corresponding amino acid is attached (by aminoacyl-tRNA synthetases). tRNAs cope with the degeneracy of the genetic code in two manners: having more than one tRNA (with a specific anti-codon) for a particular amino acid; and 'wobble' base-pairing, i.e. permitting non-standard base-pairing at the 3rd anti-codon position.
Source: RNAcentral